CCUACGGGUGGCAGCAGUAGGGAAUUUUCGUCAAUGGGCGCAAGCCUGAACGAGCAAUGCCGCGUGAACGAGGAAGGUCUUCGGAUCGUAAAGUUCUGUUGAAGGGGAAAAAGAGCGGAGAGAGGAAAUGCUUUCUGAUUGAUAUUACCCUUCGAGGAAGUCACGGCUAACUACGUGCCAGCAGCCGCGGUAAUACGUAGGUGGCGAGCGUUAUCCGGAAUGGUUGGGCGUAAAGGGUGCGUAGGCGGCCUGCUAAGUCUGGAGUGAAGGGUACCGGCUCAACCGGUACAGGCGCUGGAAACUGGCGGGCUAGAGGGCAGGAGAGGGCGGUGGAACUCCAUGUGUAGCGGUAAAAUGCGUAGAUAUAUGGAAGAACACCAGUGGCGAAGGCGGCCGCCUGGCCUGUUACUGACGCUGAGGCACGAAAGCGUGGGGAGCAAAUAGGAUUAGAUACCCUUGUAGUC
RNAcentral lists this ribosomal RNA (464 nucleotides) under uncultured bacterium. RNAcentral describes it as "partial 16S ribosomal RNA". It matches the Rfam family "Bacterial small subunit ribosomal RNA", at positions 338 to 795 of the family's 1533-position model. The record is from RNAcentral.